Potamilus streckersoni is the source of this 75-nucleotide non-coding RNA. Lineage: Eukaryota; Metazoa; Mollusca; Bivalvia; Unionida; Unionidae. The record is from the annotation of a GenBank genome assembly.
GCUCAUGUGGCUUAAUGGUUAGAGCGUCCGCCUCGGAUGCGGGAGGAGGUCGUGAUUCGAUCCCCGGUCGAGUCA